Molecule: ribosomal RNA, 492 nt
Filed under: uncultured bacterium
Lineage: Bacteria
Description: partial 16S ribosomal RNA
Rfam family: Bacterial small subunit ribosomal RNA
Source: RNAcentral
AUUGAACGCUGGCGGCAGGCCUAACACAUGCAAGUCGAACGGUAACACGGAGCAGCUUUCUUCUUCGCGGACGAGUGGCGGACGGGUGAGUAGUGUCUGGGAAGCUGCCUGUUUUCGGGGGAGAACUACUGGGAACGGUAGCUAUUACCGCAUAUACGCGCUACACCAAAAAGGGGGACCUCCUGGCACCUUGCCCGAGUGUGUGCCCCGAUGGCGGAUUAGCUUGGUUGGGGGGUAGAGGCUCACCAAGGCGAAGAUCCCUAGCUGGUCUGAGAGGAUGACCAGCCACACUGGAACUGAGACACGGUCCAGACUCCUACGGGAGGCAGCAGUGGGGAAUAUUGCACAAUGGGCGCAAGCCUGAUGCAGCCAUGCCGCGUGUAUGAAGAAGGCCUUCGGGUUGUAAAGUACUUUCGGCGGGAAGGAAGGGAGUAAAGUUAAUACCUCUGUUCAUUGACGUUACCCACAGAAGAAGCACCGGCUAACUUCGUG